RNA transcript from Nymphaea colorata (pocket water lily), 5257 nucleotides. It is a transcript of the gene named regulator of telomere elongation helicase 1 homolog, with no coding region annotated. The transcript is spliced from 24 exons. The record is from RefSeq and is a predicted model, not a curated record. NCBI's taxonomy places the organism in Eukaryota, Viridiplantae, Streptophyta, Magnoliopsida, Nymphaeales, Nymphaeaceae.
AAAUGGUAGGCACUAGACUCUAGUUGAUGAAUAUAUCGUACUCGACACAUGUCUCGAUGCAAUUCAGACACAGGAAAAAUGGGGGAGCAAUCAAGUCUUUUGCAGGUGGGUUUCGAACUACUACUGUUUGCUUGAAACCUACCACAGACAUCACAUUAAGGCUAUAACACUAUAUUCCUGAAUUUCCUUAUUAUAUGCAACUCCGUAACAUUAUGAUCACCGGUUUUAGUUAAAUUAUGGGAAGUAUCACAAUAUUUAUCUACUUUAUUUGCAAAAUCAGCUUAUUUCAAAUCCAUAAAAUAUUUUACUGACAAUGUUAAACAUGAGUCUUGUCUUUCCUUUCUUUUUAAAUUAUAAACAGCUUAGUUUUAUGAAGGAGAGCGCUUUGCAAAUCCUUACGACGAAAAGCCAGAGUAAUAAAUGAAAGGUUGAACAAGAAAUUAGAUAAUAAAUGCAGUCCUAUAAAAAAGAAAAUCGAAUUUAAUUAGCGGUUAGAAGUUACCAGAUGGUUAAAUAUUAACAUAAUAAAACAUUGUUAUACCAUAAGCUGUUGCUAAUACUCCUGUGGCAUGGCGCUUUUAGCGACAGUUAAACAUUUUGACCAGCAGCUGUCAGGGCUGCGUCAUUUUUAACAGUAGUAGAUACUUUCGACCCUUCAAUUCCCACUCGAUGCAAUUCAAAGCGAGUUCAAAUUACAAAUAAUUCAGGUAUUUUUUUGGUUAACAAGCUAAUAAUAUUUGUGAAAUUUUUAUAGGAAACAAUUUUGUUCGGAAACUUUACAUGGCUGAAAACCAUUCUCACACUGAAAAGCUUUUAGCCUUGUUUGGAUGUUUGGAUGGAGAGAAAGAGAAAAAAAUAAACGAAUGAAAGAAAAAAAGAAAAAAAAAGAAAAAGAAAAGAAAAUUGAAUAAGAGGAGGAAAAGUAGAUCAAAGAAAUACGAAAGAAAGAGAUAAUUAUAAAAGUCUGCAUGGACAGAAAGGGAAGAAAAUAUUAAAAUGAUAUUUGAUAAAAAAAAAAGAAACAAGAGAAUUUAAGUUAAUGUACAAUAAUGGCCAAGACUUUGAAUUUAAGUUAAUUUAUCUUCAUUUUUUGUUUGAAUGAAAAAUAACCAAAUAAUCGAUGUCACCACUCAAGAUUCUAAACCAUGCAACCAAAUCAAAUCCUCGAUGUCACCGUUCUUACCCUAGAUCAUGGAGUAAUGCAGCAGGGUUGAGUUUCAGUCCAUAACCUUGACACCGUUCAUAGAAUCUCGUCUCAACGUGAUGGUUUCUCCAGCUAUUGCAUGCAAGAAACAAGAAGAUCCACCCGGGAAAAGCUCCAUCCAGUUUUUGCCCACAAAAAUUUCAUGCAGGAGAUUUUUUCCCUUCAUUCCAAAAUCGAUUUGUGUUUGCUGGACAUAAUCCGAAACGACGGCCAUUCCAAGCCGUAUCUCCUCCAGGCAUUUCAUCAAACACUUACAGCGCACCCUUCAACGUCACCAUUCUCCAAACAGGAAGCCAACAUUGCUGUCCAUGUCCCAGCCAACAAUACAUUGGCCAUUGCUCGUUGAGUUGACAACAAAAAGAAGUAGCAAUUUCUUGCAAUCGACCUGGUUCUUCUUGGGAGAAAGGCUCCCUUACCGGAGCACCCCUUUUCAGAAUCAGAGUUGCUGUUGAGAGAAACCGCCGCGCGUAAUUCCGGUGGCAACAGAGUGGCCCUAGAGAGGAGGCCAAGCACGGGACGGGAAGACCGGGCGCCUGCCUCGUCGCGCAUUAUUUCCGGUCCUCGAUCAGAAGACCGAUCAUUUGCUGCAACUGUGGAACCUUAUCGUCUCGCUCAGCAUGAGAAGACAGCCUCAGGCAAUGAAGCUUGGAGGCAAUGCCCGCGGCUCUGCAUGGAGGUGCUUGGGCCGUCCGAUCCUAUGGCGGAAGCCAUUGGUGCACGCAGAAAGGAAUCGGGCAAAAGAAUUUCCGUGGAGAAAAGUCGAACACCUUCUUGUGGUCCGAUUUUUUUCUUCGAGGAUGUCUUUCCCCAUCCCACUGGGUUUUGGAAAAACUUUGGUGGAUUGAUGUGCCCGGGAGAAAAAAUCGUCAAAAAUGAGGAAAAAGUCUGUGAACGACUUCGUCUUCUUUUCCUUUUCCCUGGCGCAUCAAACAGGGCCCUAUUGGAAAGGUUAUUCAAAAAGUGUUGCCAUUGCCGUAAAGCGUCCGCUUGUGUGACUCGACGCCUGCGCUUCGUUUCGGGUCGAGGCAUUAGACCCGAACCGAGAGUCGAACGUCCCAAGCCGUUAUGGCGGGAAACCCUUCUGCCGCCCCAGAGCAGAGGCCCUUAGUUCCGACUCCAUCGAUCAAAAUUCUUCCGCUCCCAGUAGCUAGGGUUUCUGCAGCUCCAAAUUAGAGAAGAAGAAGAAGAAGAAGAAGAAGAAGAAGGGAAGAGAUGCCUAGUUACAAGAUCAGGGGGGUCGACGUGGAGUUCCCUUUCGAUGCCUAUGAUUGCCAACUCGUGUACAUGGAAAGCGUCAUCCGAUCCUUGCAGGAGGGAUGUAAUGCAUUACUGGAGAGUCCUACUGGAACUGGGAAGACCUUGUGUUUGCUUUGUGCAUCAUUGGCUUGGAGGCAAAGUCUAAGUUAUUCAUCGAUUCAUCCUGCAUUGGUGGGGAAAAAUGGUGGGAAUACUAUCAACAAACCUUCAACUGAAUCUUCUGAAAGAAAGCUACCAACCAUAAUUUAUACUUCAAGAACACACAGCCAAUUACGUCAAGUCAUCCAGGAGCUGAAAACAAGCCCUUAUAGGCCCAGGAUGGUUGUCCUAGGUUCUCGAGAGCAGAUGUGUAUACAUGACAAAGUGAAAAAUCUUCAUGGAAGAGUCCAAAACAAUAUUUGCUAUUCUCUUUCCAAGAAACGUCGUUGUUACCAUUACAAUUGUGUGUCUGAUUAUAUCAAGAAUAAUCCAAACAUUGGAGCUGAACCUGUUGAUAUAGAGGAUUUGGUGAAUAUAGGGAGGACAAAUGGGCCGUGCCCAUAUUAUUUGUCAAGAGAACUUCACAAAGCUGUUGACAUUGUAUUUGCUCCUUAUAAUUACCUUAUUGAUCCUGGAAAUCGCAGUUCUCUCACUGGUAUUCAGUGGGAGAAUACAAUACUCAUAUUCGAUGAAGCCCAUAAUUUGGAAAGCAUUUGUGCAGAUGCUGCUUCAUUUGAUUUGACCUCAGGUCAUCUUGCUGCAUGCAUUUCUGAAGCAAAGGAAUGUGUGGAACUUUCUCUUUCAAGAAGGUCAAUUGAAAAGUUCGAUGACAAACAUUUGGACCCUGAGAACUUUGCCAUUCUUAAAGCUCUUUUGCUUAAGCUGGAGAAGCAAGUGAAGGAAUUGCCUAUUCAGUCAAAGGAGUUGGGUUUCACACAACCAGGGUCAUAUAUUUUUGACUUUCUUGGAAAUCUUAACAUUACUUAUGAAACAUCAAAUAUGCUUAUUGAUACGAUUGAGCAUGUGGCAGUACUCCUUGAGGAUGCUGCGAACUUGGCUGCCAAUGUAAUGGAACAAAAGAAGGAUGGUAUUUGCAGGCUUGAAAGCCUAAGGGAUUUUCUUAAACUUAUCUUUAGAGAUGGAGACAAAGGACAUGGAGCUUACUACCGUUUUCAUGUGCAUGAGUCCGAAAUAAAUGGCAAUGGGUCUCUAAAAGGUGAAAAUACCAGGACGCUUAGCUGGUGGUGUUUUAAUCCGGGAAUUGCCAUGGAAGAGUUUGUUAGGCUAGGGAUUCACUCUAUUAUCUUGACUUCUGGUACAUUGUGUCCAAUGGAAUCAUUUGCUCUAGAACUCAAUCUGCCAUUUCCGGUUAGACUGGAAAAUCCUCAUGUUAUUUCCCCCAGUCAAGUUUGGGUUGGAGUUAUACCUGCUGGUCCAUCUGGUUCAAUAUUUAAUUCCUCUUAUCGAAAUCGUGACUCAUCAGAAUAUCAACAAGAGCUGGGUAAUGCAGUUGUAAACUUUGCCCGGAUUGUCCCUGGGGGACUUCUUGUAUUCUUCCCAUCUUACUAUGUCAUGGACAAUUGCAUCAAGUCUUGGCAAAGCAUGAGUCAUGGAAGCACAAUGAAUUCACUUACAAUCUGGGAAAGGAUUUCUAGACAUAAGCAGCCCGUCAUUGAGCCCAGACAGUCUGCACUUUUUCCAAAUGCAAUCGAGGAUUACAAGGCUAAGUUGAACAAUAAUUCAGCAUCUGGUGCAGUAUUUUUUGCUGUGUGCCGUGGGAAGGUAAGUGAAGGCUUGGACUUUGCUGACAAUGCUGGGAGAGCUGUCAUCAUUACUGGUAUUCCAUAUGCUAUGAGGUCUGAUGCUAAGGUCCGCUUGAAACGUGAAUACCUGGAUUCACAGGCUUCAUCACAAAAAAGAAAUGCUAAGGUUUUGACUGGAGAUGCAUGGUAUGACCAACAAGCUGCACGGGCAGUGAAUCAAGCAAUUGGUCGGGUGAUCCGGCAUCGUCAUGAUUAUGGUGCAAUUAUUUUUUGUGAUGAAAGGUUUUCACAAUACAAUCGUCAGCGUCAGUUGCCACUUUGGCUUCAACCUCAUGUUAAGUGUUACUCAAAAUUUGGAGAUGCAGCCUUUACAUUGACACGUUUUUUCCGUGAUAUUGGAACAUUAAAUCAAGUAAGCGUCCGACUGAAUGCCAAGCCAAAAGCAGACUCUACUCCUGAUUUAGGUAUAGAUAUCACGGUCUCUUUGAAGGAAAAAAUUGACGAGGGACCAGCUGUUGUUGGUGGAGACAAAGAUAUACAAGUGGCUUCAGAGCUCUCAAAGCUGACACCUGGGACUUGCUGCAUUGACGCAAAAAUGGAGCAGCAUUCAAAUAUGAUAUUGUCUUCAAAAGCUAUUGUACCUUUGAAGAAUUAUGAAGCAGUUGACCUGUCAAAUGAAGACUCUGUGGGUGAACAAGUGACACCGGAUAAGGUACAAGAUCGUGGAGGUCUGAGAAAAUGUCAAUGCCUGAGAAAGAAAGUGGUCAUUGUUGUAGAGAAGAGAGCAGCCAGCAUGCUUCCACCAGUACAGAGAUGACAGUGGACUUAGAAAAUGUUAGUCGAACCAACACUAGUCAUAAAUCUACAACUCAUGGUGAUGAGAAAGCUACAAAAGCAUCUGACUUUUUAAAGCAGGUAAGGAACACAUUAUCAAGUUCAGAAUAUAAGGAAUUUGUGGAAUUUUUGAAGGCAUUACGGUCAAAAUCUAUGAAAGCAAGCUCUGUGCUAGAAUCUGUUGCCAUGUUAUUCUCUGCACCAGAAAGGCUUUUUCUUC